Catharus ustulatus (Swainson's thrush) is the source of this 670-nucleotide long non-coding RNA. RefSeq lists it as uncharacterized. Lineage: Eukaryota; Metazoa; Chordata; Aves; Passeriformes; Turdidae. The record is from RefSeq and is a predicted model, not a curated record. The transcript is spliced from 3 exons.
GCACCUUUCCCUUCUAUGUCUGAUUUGGCUUCCCGGGUGCAGUGCCUGCUCUUUGCCGGGCUGCAGGCAAAGAGCGCUAAGGAAUGAAAGAGGUCACAGCUUCUACAGCCUCUGGGUGCGUGUUUAUUGUAAAACACGUCAUGGGCAUCAGCAGAGCCCUCGGACGUGAGGGCAGCAAGGCCGAGGGCAGCAGGCCUUGCCUGUGGCAGUGUUACACGGGAGCUGGACACCUGGAUACUCGGGUGAAGGAGUAAAGACUUCCAGGAAUGCCUAUGAAGACCAGUUGGGGAAAUGCAGCUCACAAGUCAGCCAAAUGUACCAUGCUAGGGGUGAAAUGAGGACUUGUUACGCACUGUUAGUAGCUGACUAAGCCUCAUCUUCUGGAAGAGGACCACUUGAAAGUACUCACCCAUACUUCUUGUGGAAAUAAUGCUUACUGCAUUGUGGCUCUGAAUCUGAGGAAACCUGGGAACAUGUUUAUACAUAGCAGAAGCCUAGCAGUCUGAGGCAGAUAAAAAAUAAGGAUGGACAAUAUGUUGGAAAGACAUUUACAUAAACAGUGAACAGUAGUGAACAGCAAAAACCAGUCCAAAGAUUCAGUGAGGAACUGCUUGUUUCAAAGACUCAGGGACUGUCAAGCAACAACAACCAAAAAGUACAUUCUAUCCAG